AGCAGCUUGCUGCUUCGCUGACGAGUGGCGGACGGGUGAGUAAUGUCUGGGAAACUGCCUGAUGGAGGGGGAUAACUACUGGAAACGGUAGCUAAUACCGCAUAACGUCGCAAGACCAAAGAGGGGGACCUUCGGGCCUCUUGCCAUCAGAUGUGCCCAGAUGGGAUUAGCUAGUAGGUGGGGUAACGGCUCACCUAGGCGACGAUCCCUAGCUGGUCUGAGAGGAUGACCAGCCACACUGGAACUGAGACACGGUCCAGACUCCUACGGGAGGCAGCAGUGGGGAAUAUUGCACAAUGGGCGCAAGCCUGAUGCAGCCAUGCCGCGUGUAUGAAGAAGGCCUUCGGGUUGUAAAGUACUUUCAGCGGGGAGGAAGGGAGUAAAGUUAAUACCUUUGCUCAUUGACGUUACCCGCAGAAGAGGCACCGGCUAACUCCGUGCCAGC
This 445-nucleotide ribosomal RNA is filed under the name uncultured bacterium. Its description in RNAcentral is "bacterial SSU rRNA". It matches the Rfam family "Bacterial small subunit ribosomal RNA", at positions 74 to 512 of the family's 1533-position model. The record is from RNAcentral.